This 225-nucleotide unclassified non-coding RNA is filed under the name Hevea brasiliensis (rubber tree). Lineage: Eukaryota; Viridiplantae; Streptophyta; Magnoliopsida; Malpighiales; Euphorbiaceae. The record is from RNAcentral.
GCCAUGGACUGCAGAAACUGGGAAGAAGACAUAUACAGAGAUUCCAUUAUACUCGAGAGAGAAUCUCAAUGUCGAACGGUCUUCCGGACUGCAUUUGCCCCGAACCCGGACCAUAAUUCCUAUCCGGACCUCAUCGUCGCCGCCAUUAGCGACGGCUCCAUUGCGGCUUACUCUAUCUCUUCUUGCCUUGGAUUGAACUCAGCGGGCAAUUCAUUGGUGCCAGUA